Lolium rigidum is the source of this 497-nucleotide long non-coding RNA. RefSeq lists it as uncharacterized. NCBI's taxonomy places the organism in Eukaryota, Viridiplantae, Streptophyta, Magnoliopsida, Poales, Poaceae. The record is from RefSeq and is a predicted model, not a curated record. The transcript has 2 exons.
CGAGCUCUUGGUACGGGCGGCUGCAGGCAGGGCAUGGUUGCAUCAUCGAUGACAAGGCAGGCGAGGCCCAACUGUAGCCUUGGUGCUGCAUCUCGUAUGUACAUGUGCAGUAUGAGCAGUAGACCAUGGACUUGUAGGUAUAUGGAAGAAGACAAAUUGUAGAGUUGUCUUUGAGAUCUGAAUGUUGACGUCAAGUAGCAAAGCAAGCCUACAGUUCUGGAGUUGGAUACCAGAACUGUGACUGCAGUUGUAAAUAAAAUGCCUGGAGCUUCAGAAGAAGUUGGGAUCUACAAAAAUAGAAAAAAAUCUGAAGGCAUAACAUAAUCCAUAGCUUAGCAGUUCUUGAUGAACUAGGAAUAAUGAUGUUUUGUUUGGACAGUAUCCCAGGAACUUACCAACUAGUUGUAAGAGAAAUGUUGUAAACUCUGAUAUUGUAAAAUAUACAAUGUAGUUAUGUUCUUGAUAUUUUAAAGGAUUGUAAACCUUGGCCUAACAAC